UUUCGCAAUGCCCGAAAGGGUGACGAAGCGACGCCGCGUGCGGGAAGAAGGCCUUCGGGUUGUAAACCGCUGUCGGGAGUUAGGAAGUGCAAGGAUGUUAAUAGCGUUCUUGCUUGACUAAGGCUCCGGAGGAAGCCACGGCUAACUCUGUGCCAGCAGCCGCGGUAAUACAGAGGCGGCAAGCGUUGUUCGGAAUUAUUGGGCGUAAAGAGCACGUAGGCGGCUGUGUAAGUCGGUUGUGAAAGCCUUCCGCUUAACGGAAGAACGGCAUCCGAUACUGCAUAGCUUGAGUGCGGGAGGGGAGAGUGGAACUUCUGGUGGAGCGGCGAAAUGCGUAGAUAUCAGAAGGAACACCGGCGGCGAAGGCGACUCUCUGGUCCGUAACUGACGCUGAGUGUGCGAAAGCUAGGGGAGCAAACGGGAUUAGAUACCCCGGUAGUCCUAGCCGUAAACGAUGGGCACUAAGUAGAGGGGUUUU
This 478-nucleotide ribosomal RNA is filed under the name uncultured anaerobic ammonium-oxidizing bacterium. Its description in RNAcentral is "bacterial SSU rRNA". It matches the Rfam family "Bacterial small subunit ribosomal RNA", at positions 364 to 832 of the family's 1533-position model. The record is from RNAcentral.